GACAGAGGGUGCAAACGUUGUUCGGAUUUACUGGGCGUAAAGAGCGUGUAGGCGGCCACGCAGGUCCGUUGUGAAAACUGGAGGCUCAACCUUCAGACGUCGACGGAAACCGUGUGGCUAGAGUCCGGAAGAGGAGAGUGGAAUUCCUGGUGUAGCGGUGAAAUGCGCAGAUAUCAGGAAGAACACCAAUGGCGAAGGCAGCUCUCUGGGACGGUACUGACGCUGAGACGCGAAAGCGUGGGGAGCGAACAGG
RNAcentral lists this ribosomal RNA (253 nucleotides) under uncultured bacterium. RNAcentral's name for it is "partial 16S ribosomal RNA". It matches the Rfam family "Bacterial small subunit ribosomal RNA", at positions 524 to 776 of the family's 1533-position model. The record is from RNAcentral.